AAUCAAUAGUGAAUAAAUUUAAACUUUCUCUUCUAUCCUUCAUUUUCUGUCUCUCUCUUCGCUUCUUUCUUUCUACUUGGGCGCUGUCUCUCUCGCUAAAAGAAAAAAGAAUGGGCGUGCUCAGUACUGCGGGUUAGGAGAGCGUCUGUCGAAGAAAAAAAGAAGACGACGACAGAGGCUCCGAAUCUGUUUCCGGCGAGUAGCAAAGAUGAAGAAUAAUAAAUUAGAGGUGGCCGUGGCUGUUGGUGCAGCUGCAAGGAAAAAGAAUAGUGGCACGGUGAGUGGUGUUACUACCGAAGGAGCAGCUGGCAACAAGUUGACCACUUCGGUCAAAAGAAUGGAGAGCUCCGAGAUCCUGUCAUCGGUGGUGUGGCAGAAGAACAACUUCCCUGGCAAAGCUCAAGGUGUGAAAUUUGCUGGCAAGUUGCUCCGGCUGGAGCUGCGCCUGCUAAAGCGAAAUUGCAUAAGAGGUUAGUCAGAAAAAGCAAGAAGCCUCGAGUGAGGCCAAUCAAGUGGCACCCGCAGUUGAAUUGGUUAGGCAAAUGCAAAAUGGCCAAAAUUUUGGAGUGGUUGAAGGUGGCAAAUUGAGCUGAGAUGAAUGGCACACAAUGAGGCACAACUGCAAAGGGAGGUUGAGAGAAUGAUUGCUAAGACAAAUAUGGAGAAACUUAGAGCUGAUUUACUCUCUGUUGAG
Long non-coding RNA from Arachis stenosperma, 694 nucleotides. RefSeq lists it as uncharacterized. The transcript is spliced from 4 exons. The record is from RefSeq and is a predicted model, not a curated record. Lineage: Eukaryota; Viridiplantae; Streptophyta; Magnoliopsida; Fabales; Fabaceae.